This 506-nucleotide ribosomal RNA is filed under the name uncultured beta proteobacterium. Its description in RNAcentral is "bacterial SSU rRNA". It matches the Rfam family "Bacterial small subunit ribosomal RNA", at positions 8 to 507 of the family's 1533-position model. The record is from RNAcentral. Lineage: Bacteria; Pseudomonadati; Pseudomonadota; Betaproteobacteria.
AGAGUUUGAUCCUGGCUCAGAUUGAACGCUGGCGGCAUGCUUUACACAUGCAAGUCGAACGGCAGCACGGGUGCUUGCACCUGGUGGCGAGUGGCGAACGGGUGAGUAAUGCACCGGAACGUACCCAGUAAUGGGGGAUAACACAUCGAAAGAUGUGCUAAUACCGCAUACGCCCUGAGGGGGAAAGCGGGGGAUCGUAAGACCUCGCGUUAUUGGAGCGGCCGAUGCCGGAUUAGCUAGUUGGUGGGGUAAAGGCCCACCAAGGCGACGAUCCGUAGCUGGUCUGAGAGGACGACCAGCCACACUGGGACUGAGACACGGCCCAGACUUCUACGGGAGGCAGCAGUGGGGAAUUUUGGACAAUGGGGGGAACCCUGAUCCAGCCAUGCCGCGUGAGUGAAGAAGGCCUUCGGGUUGUAAAGCUCUUUCGCAAGGAAAGAAAUCCUAUCCGCUAAUACCGGGUGGGGAUGACGGUACCUUGAUAAGAAGCACCGGCUAACUACGUG